This 301-nucleotide ribosomal RNA is filed under the name uncultured bacterium. Its description in RNAcentral is "partial 16S ribosomal RNA". It matches the Rfam family "Bacterial small subunit ribosomal RNA", at positions 509 to 807 of the family's 1533-position model. The record is from RNAcentral.
CAGUCGCCGCGGGAAUACGUAGGGUGCAAGCGUUAAUCGGAAUUACUGGGCGUAAAGCGUGCGCAGGCGGUUUGUUAAGACAGAUGUGAAAUCCCCGGGCUCAACCCGAAGCCUGCACGAGAAACUACCGGGCUUGAGUAUUGGAGAGGUGAGUGGAAUUUCCGGUGUAGCGGUGAAAUGCGUAGAUAUCGGAGGGAACACCUGUGGCGAAAGCGGCUCACUGGACAAUAACUGACGCUGAUGCACGAAAGCUAGGGGAGCAAACAGGAUUAGAUACCCCGGUAGUCCCUGUCUCUUAUAC